This is a long non-coding RNA of Humulus lupulus (European hop), 461 nucleotides long. RefSeq lists it as uncharacterized. The transcript is spliced from 3 exons. The record is from RefSeq and is a predicted model, not a curated record. Lineage: Eukaryota; Viridiplantae; Streptophyta; Magnoliopsida; Rosales; Cannabaceae.
AGUUAGAAGCUGCAAAUCUAUUCUACCAGCCAAAUGCAAAAGUUGAAUGCUUGUAACUUUGUUUGUAAGCUGCCAAGCCCAUGAGAUGAGCGUAGACUUGAUUUUUUUUGCAACCAACCAUACUUUCUUUUCUGUCCUAUUUCCCCAUUGUCCCUGUUAAAUUAAUUCUUAAUUUUAGUUGUCUACUUUGCUUUGUCACAGUUGGCACUCUACAUCCUAGUAGCAGGCAUUCUUUACAUAUACAUAAACUACGACUGUGAUAGGCAAAGGCAAGAGUUUCGCAGAACAAAUGGCAAAGCUUUGGUUUGGGGUAAAGCUCCAUCAAAGAUAACUGCCACUUACACUACCACAACUGGGGAAACAAAAAGCAGCAUUCUUUUAACUUCGGGAUGCUUUCAUUCAUAACCACUAUGUCCCAGAAAUAUUAGCUGCAUUUUUCUGGACUGUUCCAGCUCUUUUUA